This 704-nucleotide long non-coding RNA is filed under the name Gallus gallus (chicken). Lineage: Eukaryota; Metazoa; Chordata; Aves; Galliformes; Phasianidae. The record is from RNAcentral.
CGACGCCGGUGUCUGUUAUGACUUCACUCAGUCUCAGCUCCAGGUGGACCUUUCCCUGUACUUCUGAAUCGGCAUCAACGUGCUGGAGUUGAAACCAGGUGUCUCUGUUAUGAUACUUCUGCAGGUCUUCUUUCUGAAUAGCUACCUUUCCUAUGAUGGAAUCCCUUCGAAAAACAUCUCUGUCAAAAAUAUAAAAUGACAGAUGGCGAAAGGUCCGAGGAAUUUCACAGUAAAAGUCUUCUCCAUAGAAGGGGCAUAAUGACUUUUCCACGAUUUUGGUCCUGAAAACCUCCUCCUGGUCCAGGUUUACAGUACAGUAGCAAUCCCUCAUCUUGUUUGGCCCCGGGUACGUAGGAAGAUUUUUGGCUUCACCGAUUUUAAUCCUGACGCUCUGGAAGACCCGCAGCCCCUCUUCCUCCACCGCCAUGGUGCCGCCGCUCGGCAGCGCUCGGGCUCCUCCGCCGCGGACGCUGGUUGGGCCGUGCCGUGCCGGGCCGUGCCGUGCCGGGGUAGCGAGCUCCUUGCUGCGGACGAGCAGGCAGCGUGCGGCUCGCAGCGGGGCCACCAGCCAGCACCGAACGGAACAGAGCAGAGCGGAGCGCGGCGCAGCGCCCGCCUCCCGCCCCUAGCGCUGGCAGCGCCCGCCCCGCCGCCGCCCCCUCAUUGGUCAGAGGGCACCCGGCGGCAGCCGCUGCCUGCAGGGG